UGACAACAUUUUUUUCUUGAAUACAAAAAAAAGAAUAAAAUACAGAACAAUAUUCAAAACUUGUUUUUUUGAAAACCUGAUACGAGGCAGUGUCUGUUAAUGGUUAAACACAAAGCAUAAAUAAAGUGCUGCAACACACUCUAGAAUAAAUGUGAGACUUGUUUUCCUUCUAUUGUGAUAUAAGUAAAUGAUUUCCAGGAGCAAUAACUACCGUGAGAUCACCAAGGAGGUUAAUGGUGCGACGAACGAUGAUAAAAAGCUUGGUACCAUAUUACAACCACACAUAAAUAGUUUUACUGUAGUACAAAGCGUCUCUAUUCUCAUAAUUUUUGAUGUUUCUGCACAUUACAUAGUUGAGUGUCAUUACAGUGGCACCCUUUUAUUUAACGUUGUUGCUUACUUUAACAUCUGAAAGAUACGAGCCAUAAAGCUUGCAACCUCACAAGCAAACUGGCAGACUGUAGAACUUCAAUGUUGUUCCACUGAACAACAUAUGGAUUUUGGACGGUCUUCACAUUCAAAGUCACCCCGUCCAGCAUAAUGACGCCAAGUGAGGUUUCUCAUAGAAGAGUACUGGACUUAAUAUUUUUUCUAUGAGCUUUAUUUGAUUGUCAGAGUGCGCCCAUUGCCACACAUGCACUGUAGGCCUCCAAUUAGACCAGAGAGCAUCAUGACCGAUGAUCUCACAGUAGGUAGUUCUGGCUGCUACAAGGAGACUGUCUUGGUGCUGGAUUACAGGUAGGUUUAAUAUAUAUUUUAAACUGUUUAUUCGUACAAAUGGGAGGCUCUAAAUCUAAACCAUCAGAGGAACACUAACAUAAUAAAUGUAGUUUUAAUGUUAAAGUGUUCCUUUGUUGUGCUGCAAAAUAUAGUACUACAAGUAGGACCACAGUGUGUCUAAGAUGCCACAAAUACAGCCCCAAGGAUACAGCAGUUCUUGGGAAAAAAACCAAAACAAAACAGAAGCAAAAGAAAAGAAAGUAAAUACAGUGGAACUUCAGAACUCGAACUUAACCUGUUCCAGAAGGCGGUUUAAGAACCGACUUGUUUGAAAACCGAAUCAAAAUUUUCCAUAAGAAUUAAUGUAAAUUAGAUCAAUCAGUUCCAGAUCCCCAUAACUACAGCAUUUCUAAAACAAAUUUUACAGUUUAAUAAUACUUUAAAUGCAUAAAAUCAUACAGAAAUAAAAUAAACACAAUGUAAAUGAAAUGAAAAUUUUACUUCACUUUACCUUUCAGCUCUGUUUGCUGACAGAAUGGAGCUCUGUUCAGUUUGUCUAGUGCUAGGAGGCCGAUGCAUCAUUGCAACGAGGUUCCAAAGAGGUACCAACAAGGUUAAUGCCGUGUGAUUUUGUUCUAGUACCGAGUUUUGUUCGGGUACCGAGACCUUUUUUUCUCAAAUUUUAUGUUUGAAUACCGAAUUAAUGGGCCAAUUUACUAUGCAGUGCUUAGCAAAACAUAUUCAAAGAAAUGGGAAAAGAUGUAUAAUGGUUGAAAACAAUACCAUCCUGGGUUUCUGGAGACAUUCAUAAACCAUUCAACCUUCCAUCCAUUGCGUGCUACAGAUGAAAGUGCAGAUGAAAGUGCACUAAAUGAAAGUGCAUUUAUUGUGAAAAAUUAUCUUUUGAUAAUGUAUAUUAAAAAGAUAGAAAUGUUUAUGGCCUUCUUGAUUAAAUUUAUUUAUUUUUAAUUGAAAGAAGAUUACAGACCGUUGUCUAAGCAGUGUAUAUCAGUAAUCCAGAUAGUUAGGUCAACUACUGUUUGUAAAAUAUGUAGUAGAUAAUUAAACAGAAUGGUCUCAAUUUAACAAAGUUGCACAUGUUAAUAACAUAUUCUGCAACAUAUAAAAAUAGAAUUUUCUCUGCCAGUUCCUAUUUAACAAUUAAUUUUUUUCCAGAUGCGGGGCUGUCAUUGUUUGUUGCAAGCUGGAAUCAGGAGGGGAAUUACUUGAUAUCCACUGACCACAUGUUCUACCUCUGCAAAGUAAACCUUACAUAAUGCUAGUUUAAUUUUGUUUUCUCAUGUAUUUAACCAAGUGGUUGCUUCUAUUAUUUGGUGAAUAUAUAAACACCGAGCCAUAUGCUUUUAAUAUGAUCACACUUGGUAAGGUUGAAGUGGCUUAUUUGGAAAGGUGAAUCAUUAAUCAAUGCUAUUCAGACAGCCACUACCUAUGUUUUCAUUCUAUAGAACUUCACAAUAACUCGUUUGGGUGUUCCCUCCCACUCUUCCUUGGCUACAGGUAAUCCCAGUAUCAGAAGGUGAGAGGGUUAAGGUCAGAAUUUAAGGAGCCAUAAAUCUACUAAAGUAUAUGAAGGGUUUAGAAGAAGAUAAUAAAAAGAGGUCAGUACCUCCCCCCAACCGAAAACAAGGACAAUAAGAAUCAAAAGUAGAUGUUUGCUCACUUAAAGAAAGCUUCUUAGCUGGUUUUGUUGUUUGCUGAAUUGCAGAUCUAUGCAGUGAAAUUGCAGCACACUCACACCAUUGAAGAGAUCUCAAAAUUCUCUCACCACUAACAAGAAGCAUCAUUAGUGGCUAGAGUAUAAUAAGAAAUGUUUUCUUGGAGAAAUAAACGAGUUGGGGGUCGCUAGACACUUGUAGUCAUUUUAUACAAUACCAACUUCAGUAUUAAGUGGAAGUAAAAAGAACCUACUGUAAAAUUUCUUUACAGGAAAACUUAUUGAUCCACUAAAUAGUCUUUGAGUGCAAACAACACUAAGGUUUCUUUAAAGACAUGUCUGAAGAGACCAAACCAUUGGUCUUGCAAACGUAAAGACCUUUUAACUCUACUUGGCUAAUAACAGAACAGGC
Non-coding RNA from Pelobates cultripes (western spadefoot toad), 2807 nucleotides. NCBI's taxonomy places the organism in Eukaryota, Metazoa, Chordata, Amphibia, Anura, Pelobatidae. The record is from the annotation of a GenBank genome assembly.